This 497-nucleotide ribosomal RNA is filed under the name uncultured bacterium. RNAcentral's name for it is "partial 16S ribosomal RNA". It matches the Rfam family "Bacterial small subunit ribosomal RNA", at positions 28 to 507 of the family's 1533-position model. The record is from RNAcentral.
GAUGAACGCUGGCGGCGUGCCUAAUACAUGCAAGUCGAGCGAACAGACGAGGAGCUUGCUCCUCUGACGUUAGCGGCGGACGGGUGAGUAACACGUGGAUAACCUACCUAUAAGACUGGGAUAACUUCGGGAAACCGGAGCUAAUACCGGAUAAUAUAUUGAACCGCAUGGUUCAAUAGUGAAAGACGGUUUUGCUGUCACUUAUAGAUGGAUCCGCGCCGCAUUAGCUAGUUGGUAAGGUAACGGCUUACCAAGGCAACGAUGCGUAGCCGACCUGAGAGGGUGAUCGGCCACACUGGAACUGAGACACGGUCCAGACUCCUACGGGAGGCAGCAGUAGGGAAUCUUCCGCAAUGGGCGCAAGCCUGACGGAGCAACGCCGCGUGAGUGAUGAAGGUCUUCGGAUCGUAAAACUCUGUUAUUAGGGAAGAACAAAUGUGUAAGUAACUAUGCACGUCUUGACGGUACCUAAUCAGAAAGCCACGGCUAACUACGUG